UUGACCAAUACUCUGAGUACAGUACUGUACAGAACUCGUACAGAACUCGUACUGAUACGAACGGGCAUUUGACGGGCAUUUGACGGGCAUUUGACGGAAACUUGGCAGAUACUUGACGGACCCUUGGCAGACACUUGACGGACACUUGACAGUUGACGGACACUUGUACUUCAACUGUAAUGAGUAUGGCAUCUGAACGAGAACAACACCCUAGACUACAUGUACUAAGCUCUCGUUGACCGCCAACAACCCCGCUCAACAGUCAAACCCUCUAUGAAAAGUGGUGAAAGUGGACACGGUCAUAAUUCUCUGGUUGUUCGGAUGACAGUCGUCUGACAACAACUAUUGGAAAGUUUUAAGGGGUCCCAUAGCAGACGACGUGGUUCAGGACCCUGAGAACUCACUAGACGCAUCAAAGAAGCCCCCUUCAUCCACUUCCUCAAUCUCGCCUUCAAUAAGAGGAACACUGGCGAGCUCAUUCAGUUGCAUGACAACUACCUCCUCAGGAGCUUUCCCCUCCUUGUAUUGCCGGACGUGAUCCUCAUCCACGUACGGGUGGGAAGAAAGUCCCUGGAGACGAAGCAGCUCGAUAUCAUGCUUGUCGGAAGAUGUGGCAACCACGCCAGCAAUGAAUUGUCCUGGUGCAGAAGGUGCUGAAGGUCCCUCACUGGAACCAGCUCCCUAGUGAUCAAUAACAUACUCUGGAGCUGAGGGAAAGGCGCGUCCAGGGAAGAAGAACUGAUAGCAGCCGGCUCCAAAGGAAGCAGGGCGGCCUCUCCUAUCGAAGCUUCAUAAAGCUGUUUUUCCGAACGACCACCAAACCAGCCACUCUAUCCUGUCAAUUGGUAGAAUCAUAUGUGUGGAUCUUCACAUCGAUAACGUCCACUACAGGUGUAAAUACAUCAUCAACUUCAUUUGCAACAACAAUUGGUGCUCCCCAAAUGACAUGGAACCCGAGGUUUCCAAACAUUAUUGACUAAUUCGUCAGACUAAAACAAGGGAGCCGUCUUAACAGCAUUAGUCUGAACUCACAGCUAAGAGAGAAGGGUAUUGGUCAAAUCUUGUGCGCUUGUCAAAUGUGGAUGAACCAUUGAUCAGUACUGAAUUGAGGAGUAUGUCUUGUUUUCCAACUUCUCAGCUCCAAGUCAGACUAUGAAGACCUUGGUCCCUAUCAUAAACCCCUAGGUGAUAGAAUGGUCUACAUUAAAGUGGUCUACAAUGUACUGUACUAUUCCGCGAAUUGGAAGGACCAAUAUAUAUCGCUUCUGGAUUGUCUGACAGAUUCUCGACAACCAACAUGACUUUUUACCACAACUAUCCAGUAUAGUACAGAGAAUGUGUUCUGAUGAGAUCGAGUCUGGUGAUGUUUUCCGUGACA
This 1378-nucleotide unclassified non-coding RNA is filed under the name Yarrowia lipolytica. Lineage: Eukaryota; Fungi; Ascomycota; Dipodascomycetes; Dipodascales. The record is from RNAcentral.